This is a non-coding RNA of Zonotrichia albicollis (white-throated sparrow), 3159 nucleotides long. The record is from RefSeq and is a predicted model, not a curated record. NCBI's taxonomy places the organism in Eukaryota, Metazoa, Chordata, Aves, Passeriformes, Passerellidae.
UAAAAGUCUUUAGUAGAAAGGUGUUUUUUUUAUCCUGUGGUCUUGAGAUACAUACCUGUUCUUAGCUCAUCCUCCUGAUCCUAGGACUGACACAGAGUAAAAUCUUUUUUCUGACAGCCCAGAUUCAAAUACUAAAAGAGGUGCUCCUCAUCACCUUCUGCUUCACAGGAGAACCCUGGGCACUCUUGGCUGCUGCCCUAGAGCCCAAAGGGAGGUGGGUUAGAUCAGGCUCCUUCCUAACAUUGUGGGGUGCUGCCAGACAGAUGCCUGGAGCAGCACCCAUGGAGGCCUGGGGUAGAGGAAGCCACUGGGCUGGGGUGCUCCAGAAGGCAUUUCUCUGCUGCUGUAAUGCAGGAGCCUUCACCAGGAAGGAGACCUCAAAAAUUCACAAUUCAUCCUGACUUUCAUGUAGGGCCCCAGUCUUAUUUCCAUUAUUUUAUACAUUUGUUUAAGUCCUGUGUGUGUUUAUCCCAGGCUUCUCUUUUCCAUCCUUACUCCCACCAUUCAUUCAGGAUAUGUUUCUUUGCUGUAGUGGUAUGAGAGCCAUCAUAGUUGGAGAUGUCUAGAACAGUUUCCCUACAAUUUUCCACUCUGACCAGCCCUAACCCUUGUUGGGAAACCUCAUUCCUUUCUCACCUGAGGUCCUAAGUACUUUCUACCUUUCUUCAUCCCUGAGGGUACCUAAAAUGUGUGAAGCUGCUUGGCCAUGUACAUCUGUUGCAUUAGACAUAUAAACCAUGUCUCCUAUGAUUUUAGGGAUAUUUAAAUAACUAAUUUUGUUAUUUCUUUCUUCUUCAGACAUUCUUUUACUUCCUCUGGGGAGUAAUUUUGUGCCUCCAGUUUCCCCAUGGAAAAACUUAUGCUAAAAUUAUUCUCCAUACAUCUGAUGCAUCGGUUCCCUGGCCAUCCGUGCCUGUGGCUGAGGACACUGCAGUGCGUUGCCAUGGAGAGGACUCAGACAGCAUUACUGGGUCAGCAGAAGAACGCCCACAGCUGAAAGCAAGUCUUUCUCUGAUGCAACAACUGUGGCAAUGAGAAGCCAUCCUCAGGUAAAAUAUAACAAGCCAGGCUAUGUAUUGCAAAUUCUGUUUCCCACACCUCCCUGUCCAGCCUUGGCUUAAUAAAGACAUGUAGAUGUCUUUAACUAAGUCCCGUAUCAAACAUGUGAGCACUGCAUAUUCAGCAUUUUCUUAGCAAACAGAUUCCCCUGGCACCAGGAAAAAUUUUAGCAAAGAAUGAGUCUGCAGCUCCACAGCAUCCUAAGAGGAAAACAGAUAACCAAGGUGAGAAAUCUAAUCCUUACAUCCCUCUUAUGGCAUGUGGAGAAAGAACUUAGUAUAAAUGGGCUUAAAAUUUACCUUGCAAAAUAUUAACCAGUGGUGGUGCAGCUGCUCCUCCUAACAGCUUUUAGACAUAUCUGCCAAAUUCAACCUUGACAGAGAGAAUGAGUUUUAGUGAUAAAUUUUGUGUGAAGAGGAAGCACACAGGUAAAAUUGUUGGCACUCUCUCUGGCACUGAAGGGCUCCAGUUUCAGCCCAGAUGCCAUUAAAGCCUAGACAAUCCACAUAAACAAGAAUUUCUGAAUGUGCAAAAUGUGUUCCAUUGUGUUCCAAAAUUCCUCCACAGGUCAGCCAAAAGAAACUGCUCUUUAGUCAGUGCUUCUCCUCCAUGUUGAUUGCUUUUUUAGUUCUCCUUAACCUGCAGCUCAGUUGCAAAAACACCAAAUAAGCCCCAUCUAAAAGGGCCAUACUUUUUACAUGUGACCAUUGGUUUAACUUCUGCUUCUACAGAAAUCCAGCAGUAGAACUCCUUCUCAAAUAAACAAAAGCAUAAGCAGACCCAAGAAAUACCUCAUGCCUCCAUCCAAACUGCUGACUUAAAUUUUCCAUGCUUCAAUUUUAAACUCAUAAAAUUCACUGAAUUUCAUGGACUUAGGACUUAAACCACUACAGAAAUAAAAAAUAUCCAUACACAGAUCAGUGUCUUUUGAAAAAAAAUAUUUUUCUCAGAUUGCACAUUCAAAACUUGAGCUGUACACUGCACAGUAGAGGAACACUAGUUUGCCAAUCCAAUUACCUUCAUGUAGGUUUGUGUUGAUUAGUUCAGCUGUAGCCCCAAGGUGUCAAACUCAGUCAGCAGCAAGAGAUGGACCCCAGGUGUAAUUACAGUCAGUGGCCAUGUCUCCUGGGCUGCAGAAUGUUCUCCGUCUGGAAAUGCCCUUGUCAGAGGGAGGUUUGGACAGUCUUCAGGUAGAUUGCAGUAGAGCUUUAGGGAAAACAUGCUCCUCCAGUUAGAGGCUGCCUGCUCAUUCACCCAUCACCAUUUGCCUUCUUUCCACUGUUUCCCACCUCUCCCCCUUGUCCCUCUGCUAAAUUAACCAAGCAGUGAAUUUCAACCCCAGUGCAACGACACAGGAAGCAAAACCCUUCAUAUAUGUGCUGGCAGGCUUUCUCUCCAGCCUCAAAGGCUACAAAUCAGAUGAAACACUGGCUAGGCUGGAGUCAUUGCAGGUUUUACCCUAACUCUAGUGCUGUCAGGGAGCAAGGGCAGUUUUGCAGUGGCUGGAUUAGAGCCACUGACCAUCUCUUUUCUAGGUCUUUGCAGGUACGAGGGCACACACAAAUCACUGAGGCACGGACAUCAUGUGAAGUCUGUGUUUUCUCAAGGACCUUGUCCAGUGUUAGAACAGGAUUUGUUUCACUGUUCUGAUUGCUGCUUUGAGGCUGAGGAUAAGGGAUAGCCUCCCUGCUGGAAACACUAAUGCAGCUGUCCUUUCCACAAUUACCAGAUUUGGGUGUUAAUGCUUUUCUCUAAGGGGUGUUUUACUUUAAUAACCACUCAAAUAAAUAAAUAAAUAAAUAAAUACAUAAAUACAUAAAUAAAUAUUACUUUGUAUUUUAUAAGCAACAUUUGUCCAAAGUCUUUGAAGUGCUUUGCCAAUCAGAGUCUUACUAUUUCCUGUGAGUCCCAGGAGCCCAACUCUGCUUCCGUUUAUAUCAAUAGGAGCAGGUCCAGCCUCUGAGGACUUGCCUGGCAUUACACAGUGAGCCAAUGACUGACAGAGCAAACACUGCUCAGGUGCCCUAAUUCCUACUUUCAUGCUGCCUGCCCUUAACACCACCAAUCAUACUUUGAUUCAAAGAUCAAAUCUUAUAAAAA